UACAGAGGGGGCAAGCGUUAUUCGGAAUUAUUGGGCGUAAAGGGCGCGUAGGCGGUUUUUUAAGUCGGAUGUGCAAUCCCUGGGCUCAACCCAGGAACUGCAUCCGAGACUGGAAGGCUAGAGUACUGGAGAGGGUGGUGGAAUUCCUGGUGUAGCGGUGAAAUGCGCAGAUAUCAGGAGGAACACCGGUGGCGAAGGCGGGUCUCUGGGCAGUAACUGACGCUGAGGAACGAAAGCGUGGGUAGCGAACAGG
RNAcentral lists this ribosomal RNA (253 nucleotides) under uncultured bacterium. RNAcentral describes it as "partial 16S ribosomal RNA". It matches the Rfam family "Bacterial small subunit ribosomal RNA", at positions 524 to 776 of the family's 1533-position model. The record is from RNAcentral.